Molecule: ribosomal RNA, 403 nt
Filed under: uncultured bacterium
Lineage: Bacteria
Description: partial 16S ribosomal RNA
Rfam family: Bacterial small subunit ribosomal RNA
Source: RNAcentral
AUUGAACGCUGGCGGCAGGCCUAACACAUGCAAGUCGAGCGAGCGGCGGACGGGUGAGUAAUGUAUGGGGACUGCCCGAUAGAGGGGGAUAACUACUGGAAACGGUGGCUAAUACCGCAUACUAUCGGAUAACCAAUAUGGGAUGAGCUAGUAGGUGGGGUAAAGGCUCACCUAGGCGACGAUCUCUACCUGGUCUGAGAGGAUGAUCAGCCACACUGGGACUGAGACAUGGCCCAGGCUCCUACGGAGGCAUCAGGGGGGAAUAUUGGACAAUGGUCGCAAGCCUGAUGCAGCCAUGCGGCGUGUAUGAAGAAGGCCUUAGGGUUGUAAAGUACUUUCAGCGGGGAGGCGUGAGCCGCAGAAGAAGCACCGGCUAACUCCGUGCCAGCAGUCGCGGUAAUUC